AUUGAACGCCGGCGGCAGGCUUAACACAUGCAAGUCGAGCGGGGUGAUGGUGCUUGCACUAUCACUUAGCGGCGGACGGGUGAGUAAUGCUUAGGAAUCUGCCUAUUAGUGGGGGACAACAUCUCGAAAGGGAUGCUAAUACCGCAUACGUCCUACGGGAGAAAGCAGGGGAUCACUUGUGACCUUGCGCUAAUAGAUGAGCCUAAGUCGGAUUAGCUAGUUGGUGGGGUAAAGGCCUACCAAGGCGACGAUCUGUAGCGGGUCUGAGAGGAUGAUCCGACACGCUGGGACUGGGACACGGCCCAGACUCCUACGGGAGGCAGCAGUGGGGAAUAUUGGACAAUGGGGGGAACCCUGAUCCAGCCAUGCCGCGUGUGUGAAUAAGGCCUUAUGGUUGUAAAGCACUUUAAGCGAGGAGGAGGCUCUUUUGGUUAAUACCCAAGAUGAGUGGACGUUACUCGCAGAAUAAGCACCGGCUAACUCUGUGCCAGCCGCCGCGGUAA
This 503-nucleotide ribosomal RNA is filed under the name uncultured bacterium. RNAcentral's name for it is "partial 16S ribosomal RNA". It matches the Rfam family "Bacterial small subunit ribosomal RNA", at positions 30 to 523 of the family's 1533-position model. The record is from RNAcentral.